GAUGAACGCUGGCGGCGUGCCUAAUACAUGCAAGUCGAGCGAACGGACGCUAAGCUUGCUUCCCUGUUGUUAGCGGCGGACGGGUGAGUAACUCGCGUACCACCUACCUAUAAGACUGGGAUAACUACGGGAAACCGGAACUAAUACCGGUUGAUACUGUGAACCGCAUGGUUCAAAAGUGAAAGACGGUCUUGCUGUCACUUAUAGAUGGAUCCGCGCUGCAUUAGCUAGUUGGUAAGGUAACGGCUUACCAAGGCAACGAUGCAUAGCCGACCUGAGAGGGUGAACGGCCACACUGGAACUGAGACACGGUACAGACUCCUACGGGAGGCAGCGGUAGGGAAGCGUCCGCGAUGGGCGGAAGCCUGACGGAGCAGCGCCGCGCGAGUGAUGAAGGUCUUCGGAUCGUAAAACUCUGUUAGUGGGGAAGAACAUAUGUAUAAGUAACUGUGCACAUCGUGACGGUACCUGAACAGAAAGCCACGGCUAACUACGUG
RNAcentral lists this ribosomal RNA (497 nucleotides) under uncultured bacterium. Its description in RNAcentral is "partial 16S ribosomal RNA". It matches the Rfam family "Bacterial small subunit ribosomal RNA", at positions 28 to 507 of the family's 1533-position model. The record is from RNAcentral.